UUUAUGGAGAGUUUGAUCCUGGCUCAGGAUGAACGCUGGCGGCGUGCCUAAUACAUGCAAGUCGAGCGAACAGAUAAGGAGCUUGCUCCUUUGACGUUAGCGGCGGACGGGUGAGUAACACGUGGGUAACCUACCUAUAAGACUGGAAUAACUCCGGGAAACCGGGGCUAAUGCCGGAUAACAUGUUGAACCGCAUGGUUCUACAGUGAAAGACGGUCUUGCUGUCACUUAUAGAUGGACCCGCGCCGUAUUAGCUAGUUGGUG
RNAcentral lists this ribosomal RNA (264 nucleotides) under Staphylococcus pseudintermedius. Its description in RNAcentral is "partial 16S ribosomal RNA". It matches the Rfam family "Bacterial small subunit ribosomal RNA", at positions 1 to 254 of the family's 1533-position model. The record is from RNAcentral. Lineage: Bacteria; Bacillati; Bacillota; Bacilli; Caryophanales; Staphylococcaceae.